This 253-nucleotide ribosomal RNA is filed under the name uncultured bacterium. RNAcentral describes it as "partial 16S ribosomal RNA". It matches the Rfam family "Bacterial small subunit ribosomal RNA", at positions 524 to 776 of the family's 1533-position model. The record is from RNAcentral.
UACGGAGGGUGCAAGCGUUGCUCGGAAUUAUUGGGCGUAAAGGGCAGGUAGGUGGUCUCAUUUGUCCGGGGUGAAAGCCUUGAGCUUAACUCAAGAAGUGCCCCGGAAACGGUGAGACUAGAGUGCUGGAGAGGGUCGUGGAAUUCCCGGUGUAGCGGUGAAAUGCGUAGAGAUUGGAAAGAACACCGAUGGCGAAGGCACUUUACUGGGCUAUGACUAACACUCAGAGACGAAAGCUAGGGUAGCAAAUGGG